CCUGAUUUAAGCGGCGGACGGGUGAGUAAUGCCUAGGAAUCUGCCUGGUAGUGGGGGAUAACGUUCCGAAAGGAACGCUAAUACCGCAUACGUCCUACGGGAGAAAGCAGGGGACCUUCGGGCCUUGCGCUAUCAGAUGAGCCUAGGUCGGAUUAGCUAGUUGGUGAGGUAAUGGCUCACCAAGGCGACGAUCCGUAACUGGUCUGAGAGGAUGAUCAGUCACACUGGAACUGAGACACGGUCCAGACUCCUACGGGAGGCAGCAGUGGGGAAUAUUGGACAAUGGGCGAAAGCCUGAUCCAGCCAUGCCGCGUGUGUGAAGAAGGUCUUCGGAUUGUAAAGCACUUUAAGUUGGGAGGAAGGGCAUUAACUUAAUACGUUAGUGUUUUGACGUUACCGACAG
RNAcentral lists this ribosomal RNA (403 nucleotides) under uncultured bacterium. Its description in RNAcentral is "bacterial SSU rRNA". It matches the Rfam family "Bacterial small subunit ribosomal RNA", at positions 85 to 484 of the family's 1533-position model. The record is from RNAcentral.